GACGAACGCUGGCGGCGUGCUUAACACAUGCAAGUCGAGCGGAAAGGCCACUUCGGUGGUACUCGAGCGGCGAACGGGUGAGUAACACGUGAGUAAUCUGCCCCUGGCUUUGGGAUAGCCACCGGAAACGGUGAUUAAUACCGGAUACGACCACUUCUCGCAUGGGAUGGUGGUGGAAAGUUUUUUCGGCCAGGGAUGUGCUCGCGGCCUAUCAGCUUGAUGGUGAGGUAAUGGCUCACCAUGGCUCCGACGGGUAGCCGGCCUGAGAGGGUGACCGGGCACACUGGGAGUGGGACACGGCCCAGAGUCCUACGGGAGGCAGCAGUGGGGAAUAUUGGACAAUGGGCGGAAGCCUGAUCCAGCAACGCCGCGUGAGGGAUGACGGCCUUCGGGUUGUAAACCUCUUUCAGCAGGGACGAAGCGCAAGUGACGGUACCUGCAGAAGAAGCACCGGCUAACUACGUGCCAGCCGCCGCCGUAA
This 481-nucleotide ribosomal RNA is filed under the name uncultured bacterium. RNAcentral describes it as "partial 16S ribosomal RNA". It matches the Rfam family "Bacterial small subunit ribosomal RNA", at positions 28 to 523 of the family's 1533-position model. The record is from RNAcentral.